UGUGUAGGCGGCCGCGCAAGUCGGAUGUGAAAGCCCCGGGCUCAACCCGGGAAGUGCACCCGAAACUGCAUGGCUUGAGUACCGGAGAGGUUGGUGGAAUUCUCGGUGUAGAGGUGAAAUUCGUAGAUAUCGAGAGGAACACCGGUGGCGAAGGCGGCCAACUGGACGAGUACUGACGCUGAGAUACGAAAGCGUGGGGAGCAAACAGGAUUAGAUACCCCGGUAGUCCACGCCGUAAACGAUGGGUGCUAGGUGUCACGGGCUUUGACUCCUGUGGUGCCGUAGCCAACGCAUUAAGCACCCCGCCUGGGAAGUACGGCCGCAAGGCUAAA
Molecule: ribosomal RNA, 332 nt
Filed under: uncultured bacterium
Lineage: Bacteria
Description: bacterial SSU rRNA
Rfam family: Bacterial small subunit ribosomal RNA
Source: RNAcentral